AAACAUCAAUGCUCUCACAACGUCCAGCAGUAGCAGAAUAUUCCAAGAGCAAUUCGAUUAUUCCCUUCCAACGUUCACUAGCAGCAAACAGUUUCUCACGGCAAUGCACGAUUCCCAAAUGGAAAUAUAAGAAAAGUAGCAGAAGCAGUGAGCAGUAUGCUGCAAUUUUGUUUUCUUCUCCAAACGUCCCUAUCCUUAUUAAUGUCGUAGCAGCAGCCAAGCAAGUCGUUGGUCCCCCACUUUCCCCUUUCGGAAUGGGGUUGAAUUCUCAGGAAAAUGUGUCUCCCCCAAAUGGUGAAAGACUUUUGAGUUUGAAUUUUGAAUGGGGCCAUUUCACCCGAAUUCCCCCCAAAAUCGUGCCCUAAUUCCUCCUAUUUAAACCCUUCUCUUCUUCUUUGUUGGGGGUGGGAAGAAAAUUGGGGAUAUUGAGUUGGGAAAAAAGUUGGAAUUUCAGUUGAUACGAAAUAGGUUCGAGUUUUGAUUUUCGGCCUUCUUUAGAUUUUUCGGUUUCCAGUAGCUAAAGACUACAUACAAGAAUAUAUUUGCAAGAAGAAAGGGAUAGAUACAGUUAUUAAAACUGGAAAUUCUGAGUCCUAGAAAUCUGUUUCGAAGCUUGCAUAGGAGAUUUUUCAUAGUAGCCUUGUUUGAUUUUCAUUUGUGGUGAAGUCGCUACUCCUCUGUUCGUUUUGGUCGCAGUCGCUGCCCGGAAGAAGGUAACGCUCUCUCCCUUUUAAUACUUUCCUCAUCUUUUCCGUUCCAGCAUAAUGUCUAUAGUUGUGCUUUUGUUUUGUUUGCUAUUGUUUGUUGUUGAGUUCUGGAUGGUUUGAUAUAGUGUGUAUUUCUUUAUGCUAUUUCAAUGUAGUUGGAUUCGUCUGUUCAAAUCUAUAUUUUUUCGUUUUCGAUGUCUUAAGAUGUCAAAAUGGGAACUCAUUUCGCUAACGUUGAUGGUAUGAGCUAUUUCUUCUUCAAAUGAAAGAUGAUUUCUCAAACUGUCUAAUAUGGAAAUUGGAUGUUAUAUUAUGUACUGUUUGAGAUUAAGUCGUGGCUGCUCUCCCCUUCUUGUUAUAUUUGUUUGGUUUUGGCAUCUCAAACCAACGUGUUGGUAUUCAUGGCUAUUUGUUUGUCCUGGAAGUCCAGUUUUCAGUUUAACGGUAUAUUUUGGCCCAAAUAUGAUUGUUUAGCUUUACUAUUUGCCAUGUUUUGGUGUUACUGUUUGAUAGUAUCAUCCUCUAAGGAUAUUACUUUCUUCUUUUUGCCUAUUUGUGUUUAUAUUUGCUCUAUAUUUUGCUAUUAUGUAUUCCCCUGAUAAGACUUGGCAACGUUUAGUUCUAACUAGUCCCCUUAGGAAAAUUUUGGAAGCAUAUGGUAUAUGUUGACCAAUUCUUAUUUUUUUAUUUGUUGUUUAUAACCUCUCUAGUUAUUACUUUUCUCUACUGUGCUAUUCCAUGCUGGGGAUAUUAUAAUUUAUGCUUUGUUAGUUCUUAUGUUUGGACAAAUAUGUAUAUUGUUCCUAUAUUUCUCUAAUCACUGAAGUGUACUGUAAUGAACAAGUUUUAUCUUUGUUUCUCCAUCUUUGUCAUCUUGUAUGUGUGUCAUUAGUCUACAUAAUUAUUUAAGUGCCUAUAGUGUUCUCUUUAUUUUUCUUUUAAAACUAUUGUUGUCCAUGUGCCACUGCACGAUUCUCUCAAAUGGGGAUUAUGUGUUAAUUUCCACUUUCUUGGGUCAAAAUGCAUAUUUUCCUGUAGGUUGGUUUACACUUCUUGCAUCUAUAUCAGUUGGAAUUAUAUAUUAACUCCUUAUACUCUUUUGCUUGCAUGUGAAAUCUGUCGGAGGUCACCACGAACUCGUUCCUUUCCCUUGCAUUUCCAAGAGAGCCAUAAAGGCUCAAUUUCCUGUGUUUAUCAAGUGGGCCAACUAAAAAUUGUCGAACAUGUCUCAGUUGGGAGAACACGCAGCAAUUUUGAGAAUUGAAAAUUGGGCCUUUAUUUCAGAAGACUGUAUUUCGUUAUUAUUGGGCCUAAGCCCAUUUAUUCAUUAUGUUUGUUAUUUUAUAGAGUUUAGGACAUGUGAAAAAUUGGGCCUAAGGCCUAAAGAAAAAUAUUUAUUUUUACGUUAGUUUAGGACAGGUGCAAGUGACUCUAAUGGCCCAAGACAAAAUGGACCCAAAUACUGUCCCAGACGGACAGGAAAAUCAGAUUUGGGCCCAAAUCUCUUUCCAUCUUCAAUUUGAUUAUGUUUGUGUUUGUUGUUAAUCUUAAGGUCGAAAAAAUUCAAAUCCCCGAAAGACACCCAUUUUGAUUUAACAAUUUAACUAAAUCGGUCUUUUAAUUGAACUUAAAGAAUAAUUUUGAGAAAUAUCUCACUUAGAUAUUAGUUCUACAUUCUCCUCCUUUUCCCUUUAAAAUGAUUCUAAUUAUAAAAAUUGUUCAAAUCAAAUUAAGUUAAAUUAUUUUAGCCAAAUAGUUAAUUGCCG
This 2473-nucleotide long non-coding RNA is filed under the name Solanum tuberosum (potato). RNAcentral's name for it is "long non-coding RNA (STUB_LNC002071)". Lineage: Eukaryota; Viridiplantae; Streptophyta; Magnoliopsida; Solanales; Solanaceae. The record is from RNAcentral.